CGCAAAUUAUAUUUCCCGCAUCAACAAAUAGUCUGUCAGUAUAAUUUCGUUAGUGGAAGGAGGAACAUUGCUUGUCACCGAUCGCCAGUCUCAAAACUAUAUUUUGAUCUAUAUUAUUCAAUUAAUUUGUACGAAAAAAGAGGCGAAAAAGUAACAAUCUGAUUUCACUUUGUGUAUAUAGAAACGGCAAUCAUUCCAAACGGUAUAGCAAGAACGUGUGCGUAAGCAAUGGAGGAACACCUGUUGAUGUGCUAUGGUGACACUGCGAGUCUGGCCAGUGCACUUUCGAAAAGAGACAUCAAUGCAUUCCGACGCGUACUUCAAUCGCCAUCGGACGUGGAAAAAUAUGAUACUGAAUCACAAAUGUCGAUCUUUGAAAUGGCCUGUCAAACUCCCGGUUGCGCCGAAUUCAUUCUCGAAUGCAUUCAAGUCGGCUGUGAUGUU
Molecule: long non-coding RNA, 444 nt
Organism: Contarinia nasturtii (swede midge)
Lineage: Eukaryota; Metazoa; Arthropoda; Insecta; Diptera; Cecidomyiidae
Exons: 3
Source: RefSeq, a predicted model, not a curated record